RNAcentral lists this ribosomal RNA (301 nucleotides) under uncultured bacterium. RNAcentral's name for it is "partial 16S ribosomal RNA". It matches the Rfam family "Bacterial small subunit ribosomal RNA", at positions 509 to 807 of the family's 1533-position model. The record is from RNAcentral.
CAGUCGCCGCGGGAAUACAGAGGGUGCAAGCGUUAAUCGGAAUUACUGGGCGUAAAGCGCGCGUAGGUGGUUUGUUAAGUUGGAUGUGAAAGCCCCGGGCUCAACCUGGGAACUGCAUCCAAAACUGGCAAGCUAGAGUACGGUAGAGGGUGGUGGAAUUUCCUGUGUAGCGGUGAAAUGCGUAGAUAUAGGAAGGAACACCAGUGGCGAAGGCGACCACCUGGACUGAUACUGACACUGAGGUGCGAAAGCGUUGGGAGCAAACAGGAUUAGAUACCCCCGUAGUCCCUGUCUCUUAUAC